AUCUAAAGCCUUACCACUGUGAUAGCACCAUCAUCUGAUCUCUGAAGCUAAGAAGGGUUGGCCUAGUUAGAAUUUGAAUGAGAGAUUGUCUGGGAGUAUUGGCUUUUGUUU
RNAcentral lists this ribosomal RNA (111 nucleotides) under Sorex araneus (European shrew). Lineage: Eukaryota; Metazoa; Chordata; Mammalia; Eulipotyphla; Soricidae. The record is from RNAcentral.